GCCGGUGUAGCUCAGUGGUAGAGCAACUGUCUUGUAAACAGUAGGUCGUCGGUUCGAUCCCGACCACCGGCUCC
RNAcentral lists this transfer RNA (74 nucleotides) under Pseudonocardia autotrophica. RNAcentral describes it as "tRNA-Thr". It matches the Rfam family "tRNA". From Rfam's summary of the family: Transfer RNA (tRNA) molecules are approximately 80 nucleotides in length. Their secondary structure includes four short double-helical elements and three loops (D, anti-codon, and T loops). Lineage: Bacteria; Bacillati; Actinomycetota; Actinomycetes; Pseudonocardiales; Pseudonocardiaceae. The record is from RNAcentral.